AGACCGAUAGCGAACAAGUAGAGUGAUCGAAAGAUGAAAAGCACUUUGGAAAGAGAGUCAAAUAGCACGUGAAAUUGUUGAAAGGGAAGCGCUUGCAGCCAGACUUGCCUGUAGUUGCUCAUCCGGGCUUUUGCCCGGUGCACUCUUCUGCGGGCAGGCCAGCAUCAGUUUGGGCGGUUGGAUAAAGGUCUCUGUCAUGUACCUCUCUUCGGGGAGAACUUAUAGGGGAGACGACAUACAACCAGCCUGGACUGAGGUCCGCGCAUUUGCUAGGAUGCUGCCGUAAUGGCUGUAAGCGGCCCGUCUUGAAACACGGACCAAG
Molecule: ribosomal RNA, 322 nt
Filed under: Neocamarosporium betae
Lineage: Eukaryota; Fungi; Ascomycota; Dothideomycetes; Neocamarosporiaceae
Description: partial 28S ribosomal RNA
Rfam family: Eukaryotic large subunit ribosomal RNA
Source: RNAcentral